RNAcentral lists this unclassified non-coding RNA (240 nucleotides) under soil metagenome. RNAcentral describes it as "partial contains 5.8S ribosomal RNA, internal transcribed spacer 2, and large subunit ribosomal RNA". The record is from RNAcentral.
AACCUUAUGGACCUGCGGGCGUAUACCUGCGGAAGGAUCAUUACCGAGUUUUCAACUCCCUAACCCUUCUGUGAACCUACCUAUCGUUGCUUCGGCGGACUCGCCCCAGCCCGGACGCGGACUGGACCAGCGGCCCGCCGGGGACCUCAAACUCUUGUAUUCCAGCAUCUUCUGAAUACGCCGCAAGGCAAAACAAAUGAAUCAAAACUUUCAACAACGGAUCUCAGAUCGGAAGAGCAC